This 25-nucleotide non-coding RNA is filed under the name Mus musculus (house mouse). Lineage: Eukaryota; Metazoa; Chordata; Mammalia; Rodentia; Muridae. The record is from RNAcentral.
GAGGUCAAGUGUCUGGAUGGACCUU